This is a long non-coding RNA of Numida meleagris (helmeted guineafowl), 2257 nucleotides long. RefSeq lists it as uncharacterized. The record is from RefSeq and is a predicted model, not a curated record. The transcript has 2 exons. NCBI's taxonomy places the organism in Eukaryota, Metazoa, Chordata, Aves, Galliformes, Numididae.
CGAGCGGGUAUAGUGGGCGCUCGCCGAGGGGGCGCUCAAGAUGGCGGCUGCCGGGACGGGGCGUACAGGGCUUCCUUCUGGGAGUUGCCUGCGGUGGGUCGGUGAAAAGAGAACGAAUAUCAAUGCGCAGCCGUAGUUGGACGCUUCGAGUUGACCCACCACUGACCCGAUUCUGUGGUUCUAUAAAGGGAGACUAUGUCUGAGGUGCCUGCUGUGUGCAGGGCCGGGCCGGGGAGUUGGCUCAGCUGAGUGUUAACUAGAAAAACGGGUUGUCAUGUAACCCAUGCUGUUGUGAGCCAGCUACAUGGUGAAGCAGGUCAAUGUCCUUCUCUGGUAUAAGGGAUGAAGUGGAGCAGAAUCUGAAAGGGUUAUUUUCCCUAGGGAGGCGAGGCUGUGUCUUCUGGUACCCGUUUCCAUUGCUUCCCUUGCAUCAGUUCCAGUAAUCAUGCAACCAAAGGGUGAGUCAGAUCAGCCUGAGAAGCACCCUGCGUGAAGAAAUGACAAGCAAGUUGCUGGUUGGCAGCUGAGCUGAUCCCAUCAUCACAGCUGCUAGAUCCAAAAUAAGGAAGGAGUUCGAAGCGUGCAGCUGGGGGAAGAUCAGCACAGAGUUAGAUUGCCUUGUAACAAUGUGCUUUCAAGGUUAUUUUCACAUCUAGAUGAUCUGCUCUGAUGUAGCUGCUCCAAUAGGUGUCCUGCUCCCUCUUUUCUACUGUCACUACCUACUACUACAUCCUUUAUCAGAUGUGGUAUUCAUCUGACCUCUUAAUGAGCCAUUUCUGAAAGGUACAUGGGUAGAGAAUUGAACCUCCUGCAAAUACAAGCAUAUAAGGAAAAAGGUUUUUAUGAUUAGAGUGGUGAAGUACUGGAACAGGUUGCCCCAAGUUGUGGUGGAUGCCCUGUUCUUGAAGACACUCAAGGUCAGGGUGCACCGGGCUCUGAGCACCUGAUCAAGCUGUGGAUGUCCUUGUUCACUGCAGAGGAGUUGAGCUAGAUUACCUUUAAAGGUCCCUUCCAACUCAAAUGAUUCUAUGAUUCAAAGGUGAAAUGGGUUAAAUGAGAAACACUGACUGUGUAAGGGAGGGGGGACAGGAAAUGCAGAGCAGGAGGGAAGCAGGACCUCGCUCUCUUUCCACUCCAUUGGUUCAAUGACAGGAGCCCACUUGGACUCGUGAGGUCUAAUGGAAUUUAUUUUCAAAUCAGUUUAAUUCAAAGGGAUUUAGUUUGAAGCUAAAUGCUGCCUUGUUGUUGAUCAUCAAGAUAUUAGUACAAAAUAGCUGAGAGACAGGAAACAGCUGAAGAUCUCCAGGUUAACUCAUGCAUGAUAGAGUAUAUAACUUAGUGGAUAUCUGAACAAGUACAGAUAAUAGAACUGUAAUGAGGCCAGGUAUUGAAUCCUUGCUUGAAAUUCUUAAGAUAAAGCCAAUCAAUAAUGACCAAUAGAUCUCGUCACUUUAUCAGCCAGCUGCCAGAUUGUAUUGAUGUCCUCUGAGAAGUACAUGAAGUAGGUGAGUAGACCUGCAAUUAUUUUAAGAGUCUUCACCUAGAGAGUGGUUCUUUCAUGCAGAAAUUUCAUGAAUGGACUUCCAGAGAGAAGAUCAGAAUGUUUUCAGUCACAAAAAGAAGAGCAGGAAAUGCAAAGAUCUCUAAAUGAUAGUAAUACUCAAAACUGACAAAGAUUUCACCCUAAAAAAAGAGUCGCUCCAAGUUGACAUGCUCAGUAUGUCUUAUUUGUUACACACUGACAAUACUGGCUAGAACGCUUUGAGAAACAAAGUAGGAAACUUUAGUGGAGGGGUUGUGUGGAAUGCAAACUGUAUUAAAACCAUAGUAGGCCACCUGUCACUAACAGAAUGAGUGUGAUCCAAAGAAUAAAUGAAGUGAACGUGUACCUGGUUAUCAGCAGUACGUGCAGAAAGCCAAAGAAGUGAUGUACUGUUUAACAUUUACCAAGAAACAUCAAUAAAAGCUGCUGAGAGAUUCCACAGAGAAUCCAAGACAAAUAUUCAUUUGAAAAACACAGCUGCAAGUCACAAGAACGCUAUUGUACAGCCCCAUCAACAAUCCUUACCAAACAGUUGUUUAAAGAAUGGGAAAAAAGAUUACAGUGAUAAGCCUUAUGAAAAAGUUCUCUGUAGCACUUGUAAACUCUUCUGUUUCAAGAGAACCAAAGAUUAUAGUUCUGAAAUGAUCCCAUUAGGACACCCAUAGAUGUGCUGUUUUGUAUGCACAAUCAAUGAAUAAAAGUUAGUCAGAAUCA